This 586-nucleotide ribosomal RNA is filed under the name uncultured fungus. RNAcentral's name for it is "bacterial SSU rRNA". It matches the Rfam family "Eukaryotic small subunit ribosomal RNA", at positions 1197 to 1802 of the family's 1831-position model. Lineage: Eukaryota; Fungi. The record is from RNAcentral.
GACUCAACACGGGGAAACUCACCAGGUCCAGACACAAUAAGGAUUGACAGAUUGAGAGCUCUUUCUUGAUUUUGUGGGUGGUGGUGCAUGGCCGUUCUUAGUUGGUGGAGUGAUUUGUCUGCUUAAUUGCGAUAACGAACGAGACCUUAACCUGCUAAAUAGCCCGGCUAGCUUUGGCUGGUCGCUGGCUUCUUAGAGGGACUAUCGGCUCAAGCCGAUGGAAGUUUGAGGCAAUAACAGGUCUGUGAUGCCCUUAGAUGUUCUGGGCCGCACGCGCGCUACACUGACAGAGCCAACGAGUUCUUCACCUUGGCCGGAAGGUCUGGGUAAUCUUGUGAAACCCCGUCGUGCUGGGGAUAGAGCAUUGUAAUUAUUGCUCUUCAACGAGGAAUUCCUAGUAAGCGCAAGUCAUCAGCUUGCGUUGAUUACGUCCCUGCCCUUUGUACACACCGCCCGUCGCUACUACCGAUUGAAUGGUUAUAGUGAGCAUAUGGGAUCAGUAGGAUUUGACUGGCAACAGUCAUUUCCUGCAGAGAACUAUGGCAAACUAGGCUAUUUAGAGGAAGUAAAAGUCGUAACAAGGUUU